RNAcentral lists this ribosomal RNA (827 nucleotides) under uncultured euryarchaeote. RNAcentral's name for it is "bacterial SSU rRNA". It matches the Rfam family "Archaeal small subunit ribosomal RNA", at positions 90 to 922 of the family's 1478-position model. Lineage: Archaea; Methanobacteriati; Methanobacteriota. The record is from RNAcentral.
UCAGUAACACGUGGGUAACUGCCCUAUGCUGGGGAAUAACCUCGGGAAACUGAGAAUAAUGCCCCAUAGCCCACUACGCUGGAACGGUGAGUGGGUCAAAGCCCCGGCGGCAUAGGAUGGGCUGCGCCGUAUCAGGUUGUAGGGGGUGUAAAGUACCCUCUAGCCAUCAACGCGUACGGGUGUUGGGAGACAUUGCCCGGAGAUGGAUUCUGAGACACGAAUCCAGACCCUACGGGGUGCAGCAGGCGCGAAAACUUGGCAAUGCGAGAAAUCGUGACCAGGGAACUCCAAGUGCGUAGGGUAAGACCUACGCUUUUCUUGACUCUUCAAAGGUCUUGGAAUAAGGGGUGGGUAAGGACGGUGCCAGCCGCCGCGGUAAUACCGGCGCCUCAAGUGGUAGUCGCUUUUAUUGGGCCUAAAACGUCCGUAGCCGGUCUGGUGCAUUCGUGGGUAAAUCAACCCGCUCAACGGGUUGAAUUCUGCGAGCACGGCCAGACUUGGGACCGGGAGAGGUGUGGGGUACUCUCAGGGUAGGGGUAAAAUCCUGUCAUCCUGAGAGGACCACCUGUUGCGAAGGCGCCACACUAGAACGGAUCCGACGGUCAGGGACGAAACCUAGGGGCACGAACCGGAUUAGAUACCCGGGUAGUCCUAGGUGUAAACGCUGUGGACUUGAUGUUGGGGGCGCUCCGAGCGCUCUCAGUGUCGAAGCGAAGGUGAUAAGUCCACUGCCUGGGGAGUACGGUCGCAAGGCUGAAACUUAAAGGAAUUGGCGGGGGAGCACUGCAACCUGAGGAUUGUGCGGUUUAAUUGGAUUCAACGCCGGG